GUGGGGAAUAUUGGACAAUGGGGGGAACCCUGAUCCAGCCAUGCCGCGUGUGUGAAGAAGGCCUUUUGGUUGUAAAGCACUUUAAGCGAGGAGGAGGCUACCGAGAUUAAUACUCUUGGAUAGUGGACGUUACUCGCAGAAUAAGCACCGGCUAACUCUGUGCCAGCAGCCGCGGUAAUACAGAGGGUGCAAGCGUUAAUCGGAUUUACUGGGCGUAAAGCGCGCGUAGGUGGCCAAUUAAGUCAAAUGUGAAAUCGCCGAGCUUAACUUGGGAAUUGCAUUCGAUACUGGUUGGCUAGAGUAUGGGAGAGGAUGGUAGAAUUCCAGGUGUAGCGGUGAAAUGCGUAGAGAUCUGGAGGAAUACCGAUGGCGAAGGCAGCCAUCUGGCCUAAUACUGACACUGAGGUGCGAAAGCAUGGGGAGCAAACAGGAUUAGAUACCCUGGUAGUCC
RNAcentral lists this ribosomal RNA (451 nucleotides) under uncultured bacterium. RNAcentral describes it as "partial 16S ribosomal RNA". It matches the Rfam family "Bacterial small subunit ribosomal RNA", at positions 354 to 796 of the family's 1533-position model. The record is from RNAcentral.